AAGUCGUAACAAGGUUUUCGUAGGUAAACCUGUAGAAAGAUUAUUACCUUUCUAGCUAUUUAAUAGCUUGUUUAGGGGGCUGUAGUUUCUAUAGUCUCUAACUACAUCUAUGUUUUUUUGCGUACUACAUGUUUUUCUUAGUAGGCUUUGCUCGCUAGUUAGACAAACUAAAACUCUUUGCAAUUGCAAUCAGCGUCUAAAUUAUAUAAUAAUUACAA
This 218-nucleotide unclassified non-coding RNA is filed under the name plant metagenome. Its description in RNAcentral is "partial contains small subunit ribosomal RNA and internal transcribed spacer 1". The record is from RNAcentral.